UACCGAGUUUACAACUCCCAAACCCAAUGUGAACGUUACCAAACUGUUGCCUCGGCGGGAUCUCUGCCCCGGGUGCGUCGCAGCCCCGGACCAAGGCGCCCGCCGGAGGACCAACCAAAACUCUUUUGUAUACCCCCUCGCGGGUUUUUUUAUAUCUGAGCCAUCUCGGCGCCUCUCGUAGGCGUUUCGAAAAUGAAUCAAAACUUUCAACAACGGAUCUCUUGGUUCUGGCAUCGAUGAAGAACGCAGCGAAAUGCGAUAAGUAAUGUGAAUUGCAGAAUUCAGUGAAUCAUCGAAUCUUUGAACGCACAUUGCGCCCGCCAGUAUUCUGGCGGGCAUGCCUGUCCGAGCGUCAUUUCAACCCUCGAACCCCUCCGGGGGGUCGGCGUUGGGGAUCGGCCCUUUACGGGGCCGGCCCCGAAAUACAGUGGCGGUCUCGCCGCAGCCUCUCCUGCGCAGUAGUUUGCACACUCGCAUCGGGAGCGCGGCGCGUCCAUUGCCGUAAAACACCCAACUUUCUGAAAUGUUGACCUCGGAUCAGGUAGGAAUACCCGCUGAACUUAAGCAUA
This 569-nucleotide ribosomal RNA is filed under the name Trichoderma sp. RNAcentral's name for it is "eukaryotic LSU rRNA". The stretch from base 202 to 355 matches the Rfam family "5.8S ribosomal RNA". Lineage: Eukaryota; Fungi; Ascomycota; Sordariomycetes; Hypocreales; Hypocreaceae. The record is from RNAcentral.